GGGGAUUUAGCUCAGCAGUAUAAGUGCCUGCCUUGCAAGCAGGCAGUCAUGAGUUCAAUCCCUG
RNAcentral lists this transfer RNA (64 nucleotides) under Cavia porcellus (domestic guinea pig). It matches the Rfam family "tRNA". From Rfam's summary of the family: Transfer RNA (tRNA) molecules are approximately 80 nucleotides in length. Lineage: Eukaryota; Metazoa; Chordata; Mammalia; Rodentia; Caviidae. The record is from Rfam by way of RNAcentral.